GACGAACGCUGGCGGCGUGCUUAACACAUGCAAGUCGAACGGUAAGGCCCUUCGGGGUACACGAGUGGCGAACGGGUGAGUAACACGUGGGUGAUUUGCCCUGCACUUCGGGAUAAGCCUGGGGAACUGGGUCUAAUACCGGAUAGGACCACUGCCUGCAUGGGUGGAGGUGGAAAGCUUUUGCGGUGUGGGCUGGGCCCGCGGCCUAUCAGCUUGUUGGUGGGGUGAUGGCAUACCAAGGCGACGACGGGUAGCCGGCCUGAGAGGGUGACCGGCCAGACUGGGACUGAGAGACGGCCCAGACUCCUAGGGGGGGCAGCGGCGGGGAAUGGUGCACAUGGGGAGCCAGCCUGAUGCAGCGACGGCGCGUGAGGGAUGCCGGCCUUCGGGUUGGAAACCUCGUUCAGCACCGACGAAGCGCAAGUGACGGUAGGUGCAGAAGAAGGACCGGCCAACGACGUGCCAGCCGCCGCGGUAA
This 478-nucleotide ribosomal RNA is filed under the name uncultured bacterium. Its description in RNAcentral is "partial 16S ribosomal RNA". It matches the Rfam family "Bacterial small subunit ribosomal RNA", at positions 28 to 523 of the family's 1533-position model. The record is from RNAcentral.